RNAcentral lists this unclassified non-coding RNA (623 nucleotides) under Hevea brasiliensis (rubber tree). The record is from RNAcentral. Lineage: Eukaryota; Viridiplantae; Streptophyta; Magnoliopsida; Malpighiales; Euphorbiaceae.
AUUCCUAAAUAAUAGAAAUUUAAACUUCCUAAUUAUAAUAGAAUGAGAGAUCUUAAUUUCAUAAUUAAAUAUUAAAUCAAAAUAAUUCCUAAAUAUAGCCUUCAUUUACUGCUUCAUUCUCUCCCCUAGUCAGAGAAAACUUGACCUCGAGUUUUGUAGCACUAAAGAAUUGAAAUGAAUUUGGAGAAUAAGCAACCUAUCUACUUGGGUGGUGGCACUAAGAUUGAAACAAUGAACUUCAUUCUUUCCUUCACAUCUCCAAGAACAUUUGUGAUGUAGAACCAGGAAGAUUAGAGGAUCAAGAAAAACAAAUUCUCUUUUACACUGAGAAACAAAUUCUCAAUAAUUUUAUUUAUUCUCAAAAUGGAAGAAGAGAAACUUGUUCUCAAUAAUUUUAUUUAUUCCCAAAAUGGAAGAAGAGAAACUAAUUUUCAAUAAUUUUAUUUAUUCUCAAUAAUAAUCAUAAUCAAAAGCUACAAAAUAAUAGAACUAGUCCAAUAUAUAGUGUUUUUGCAAUCCUAUUGACAGUUGAAUUAGGAACCCUAAUUCAAUUCUAAUUAGGAAUACUAAAAAAAAUAAACUAGGAAAAUAAUAAACCUUAAAUAAAAUACUAAAUCUAAAAG